CCUACGGGAGGCAGCAGUGGGGAAUAUUGCACAAUGGGGGAAACCCUGAUGCAGCGACGCCGCGUGAGUGAAGAAGUAAUUCGUUAUGUAAAGCUCUAUCAGCAGGGAAGAAAAUGACGGUACCUGAGUAAGAAGCCCCGGCUAACUACGUGCCAGCAGCCGCGGUAAUACGUAGGGGGCAAGCGUUAUCCGGAUUUACUGGGUGUAAAGGGAGCGUAGACGGCAGUGCAAGUCUGGAGUGAAAGGCGGGGGCCCAACCACGGGACUGCUUUGGAAACUGUGUUGCUGGAGUGCAGGAGGGGUAAGCGGAAUUCCUAGUGUAGCGGUGAAAUGCGUAGAUAUUAGGAGGAACACCGGUGGCGAAGGCGGCUUACUGGACUGUAACUGACGUUGAGGCUCGAAGGCGUGGGGAGCAAACAGGAUUAGAUACCCCUGUAGUC
Molecule: ribosomal RNA, 440 nt
Filed under: uncultured bacterium
Lineage: Bacteria
Description: partial 16S ribosomal RNA
Rfam family: Bacterial small subunit ribosomal RNA
Source: RNAcentral